Molecule: ribosomal RNA, 463 nt
Filed under: uncultured bacterium
Lineage: Bacteria
Description: partial 16S ribosomal RNA
Rfam family: Bacterial small subunit ribosomal RNA
Source: RNAcentral
GACGAACGCUGGCGGCGUGCUUAACACAUGCAAGUCGAACGGAAAGGCCCCUUUGGGGGUACUCGAGUGGCGAACGGGUGAGUAACACGUGAGUAACCUGCCCUUGACUUCGGGAUAACUUCAGGAAACUGGGGCUAAUACCGGAUAGGAAUCCUUGCUGCAUGGUGGGGGUUGGAAAGCUUCGGCGGUUUUGGAUGGACUCGCGGCUUAUCAGCUUGUUGGUGGGGUAGUGGCUUACCAAGGCUUUGACGGGUAGCCGGCCUGAGAGGGCGACCGGCCACAUUGGGACGGAGAAACGGCCCAGACGCCUACGGGAGGCAGCAGUGGGGAAUAUUGCACAAUGGGCGGAAGCCUGAUGCAGCAACGCCGGGUGCGGGAUGACGGCCUUCGGGUGGUAAACCGCUUUCAGCAGGGGCGAAGCUUGUGGUGACGGUACCUGCAGAAGAAGCACCGGCUAACUACG